RNAcentral lists this ribosomal RNA (376 nucleotides) under Paracoccus marcusii. Its description in RNAcentral is "bacterial SSU rRNA". It matches the Rfam family "Bacterial small subunit ribosomal RNA", at positions 29 to 432 of the family's 1533-position model. Lineage: Bacteria; Pseudomonadati; Pseudomonadota; Alphaproteobacteria; Rhodobacterales; Paracoccaceae. The record is from RNAcentral.
AACGAACGCUGGCGGCAGGCUUAACACAUGCAAGUCGAGCGAGACCUUCGGGUCUAGCGGCGGACGGGUGAGUAACGCGUGGGAACGUGCCCUUCUCUACGGAAUAGCCCCGGGAAACUGGGAGUAAUACCGUAUACGCCCUUUGGGGGAAAGAUUUAUCGGAGAAGGAUCGGCCCGCGUUGGAUUAGGUAGUUGGUGGGGUAAUGGCCCACCAAGCCGACGAUCCAUAGCUGGUUUGAGAGGAUGAUCAGCCACACUGGGACUGAGACACGGCCCAGACUCCUACGGGAGGCAGCAGUGGGGAAUCUUAGACAAUGGGGGCAACCCUGAUCUAGCCAUGCCGCGUGAGUGAUGAAGGCCUUAGGGUUGUAAAGCU